CCGCAUCUGUGCAUGCAGCAUAUCAAUAAGCGGAGGAAAAGAAACUAACAAGGAUUCCCCUAGUAACGGCGAGUGAAGCGGGAAGAGCUCAAAUUUGAAAUCUUAAAGGGUUUCCCUUUACGAAUUGUAGUUUAAAGAAGUGUUUUCUGUUGAGGUUUUGGUAAAAGUUCUUUGGAAUAGGACAUCAUAGAGGGUGAGAAUCCCGUAUUUGACCUUUACUUUCAACUUUGUGAUACACUUUCAAAGAGUCGGAUUGUUUGGGAAUGCAGUCCAAAAUGGGUGGUAAAUUUCAUCUAAAGCUAAAUAUUGGCGAGAGACCGAUAGCGAACAAGUACCGUGAGGGAAAGAUGAAAAGAACUUUGAAAAGAGAGUUAAACAGUACGUGAAAUUGUCAAAAGGGAAGCGUUUGAUACCAGUGUUGUUUUUCUGAAAAUCAAUUAAAGAACUGUUUAUGCUAAGCUGUUUAGACUUUAUCAGCUAUCUGUUUAGUUUUGAGCUUUUCUUUAAUGCACUUUUCAGUUAACAAGUCAACAUCAAUUUCUUUUGCUGUAAAAAAGCUUGAGGAAGGUGGCUUGAGAUUCGUCUUAAGUGUUUAUAGCCUCUUGCCUAUGCAGUCGGAGAGAUUGAGGUCUGCAGCGUAGAUCCUUCGGGGCUAAAUGCAUUUGUGCUAAGUUAUAGCAUUUUAUAGACAACUUGUUGACUAUGAUUUGUCUUGUAGCUUACUCGCUUAUGUUAUUUUACCUACGCUUAGGAUGUUGAAUCUGUGCGAGACUAC
RNAcentral lists this ribosomal RNA (775 nucleotides) under uncultured Neocallimastigales. RNAcentral's name for it is "partial large subunit ribosomal RNA". It matches the Rfam family "Eukaryotic large subunit ribosomal RNA", at positions 25 to 644 of the family's 3401-position model. Lineage: Eukaryota; Fungi; Neocallimastigomycota; Neocallimastigomycetes; Neocallimastigales. The record is from RNAcentral.